ACAGUCUCUGCCACAGCGGGAGUUUCAGCAGAUUAAUAGCGAUGUUUUGAAAAAUGUGCAAGUAAACAAUGCAAAUGGUGAAGACCAAUGAGUUUAUGCUAUUCCAAUCGUAAGUACUGAUUUUGAUUUAGUUGAACAUACUUGUGACACGUUGUUGAUUUCACGAUGACAUUUUGGUGUUAUAUUUCAGGAUGAAUCCAUCCUCUGCAUUAUUGAAGAGACAACUUUAAAGAACACAUACAGUAAUUGACAUUUACUACCAUUACUUAAUAUUGGGUUGAAAAGCGGAGCUUAGAAUUGGUUUUUCUAUUUCAAGCUUGGCUUUUAAACGCUGAUACUUGUCCCUGAUUAUAUGACCCGGUGGUUAAAAUUGAUUGCUUCAUUGGUUUCAAUUCAAAACUGUAGGGUGAAGACUGACAAUUGCGAUGGAAAAAACAAAAAGAAAAGAAGUUAAUAACAUUUAGGAGAUGCAGAAAACGUUUUGGAAGAGGCUUGGCGCGCAUACUUUGACAUCAUAGUGUAGAAAGCUUUAUACUAAACCAAAUUUGUCACAAAAUAGUCCGGAGGGGAAUAUAAAGUUGUCAAGACCGUUGAUGUUGGGUAUAGCUAAGUGAAUUUUUGAUAUUUUUGGAUGCAUUGCCAAUAGAAAUGAGAAAUUUUUUGAUUA
Camellia sinensis is the source of this 667-nucleotide non-coding RNA. Lineage: Eukaryota; Viridiplantae; Streptophyta; Magnoliopsida; Ericales; Theaceae. The record is from RefSeq and is a predicted model, not a curated record.